Larimichthys crocea (large yellow croaker) is the source of this 849-nucleotide long non-coding RNA. RefSeq lists it as uncharacterized. The transcript is spliced from 3 exons. NCBI's taxonomy places the organism in Eukaryota, Metazoa, Chordata, Actinopteri, Sciaenidae. The record is from RefSeq and is a predicted model, not a curated record.
UGGCAGCGGAAGCAGCGAUAGGUACACCCUUCGCUGCUAUUGCGUCAUCUUGUACUUCAUGUCUUCAUGUUCAUUGUAAGGAAGAGAAGUGUGUGUGAAAGACAGAUUGUUGUCAAGAUUUUCUUUCUCCCUUUUCUGUGGGAAUUUAGGGAGAAAAAAAAAAAGCUGAGAGCGAGGGCAAGAGUCUUCACAGGCAACUGCAAAUCCACUGAUCCCCUUGUAUUUUGCAUAUUGUCAAAGCCUGGCUAAUUUGUCAAAAUGAAGACAUCCGUCUGAGCGGAAUGAUCUUAGAGCCAAGCUGGUGUCAGAACCAGGAAAUAUCUGGGCUGGGCUUUGAAGAGCCAGAGUGGGAAAAGCUGGGCAACUCCCUGCCGCAAGGCGCUGGCACUUUUCUCUAUUUCAAGCCUGUUGGUCUUCUGAGGGCAUUUGUAUCUUCUUCCAUAUCUCUGUGGGUUUCAUCCAGGUUCCUCCCCACAGUCUAAAGACAUGCAGGCAAGGUGAACUACUUAACCUGGGCUUUAGGUGCGAACAUAUUUGUCUGAUUAUAUGUGUUAGCUGCCGUAACACUACUACAAGUCACCCUGUGCAUGCUUGGUGACGAUACACUCCCCAUCAAUUAUUAUUGCUGAAAUAAACCAACGAAAUAAAUAUGUUAAAUACGUCUACACCAUGUAUGAACCAUAAGAAUUAAACACUGGCCAUGUUUUUAUUUGCAUAUAAAACGGACUUUUGCUGUAAAACAAAAAUAACCCAGCCCCAAAUAACAGUAAAGCCAUUUAGUAACAAAUAGCACAGCAUGCCUUCCCAGCUUUUUACAAAUCUCUGUGUUAUUUCCCCAAAGGACUGUAA